AGUUGCUAUCAUUGUUAUUCUUUGUGAUGCCACAACUACAUUGACAUAUACAGUCCAAGAUUAGCUGCUUAUUCAUCUAAAAUAAUGGUGAUUUCUUAUGCUUGUUUUAGGAUUUGGAUGAUGUGUUGGAGAAAGCCAAGAAGGCCAAUGUUGUGGCCCUUGUGGCAGUUGCCGAACAUUCAGGAGAAUUUGAAAAGAUUAUGCAACUUUCAGAAAGGUAUAAUGGGUUUGUCCUGCCAUGCUUGGGUGUUCAUCCAGUUCAAGGACUUUCACCAGAAGACCAAAGAAGUGUCACACUAAAGGAUUUGGAUGUAGCUUUGCCCAUUAUUGAGAAUUAUAAGGAUCGGUUGUUGGCAAUUGGAGAGGUUGGACUAGAUUUCUCCCCCAGAUUUGCUGGCACUGGUGAACAGAAGGAAGAGCAAAGACAAGUCCUAAUCAGACAGAUCCAGUUAGCCAAAAGACUAAAUUUGCCUGUGUAGGUUAAUUAUUUUCCUAUGUUAAUAGCUAUAGAGCAAAUUAAAUAAUGAUCAGAGUUCUCCUGAAAUGGAACUCUACAUUUAUUUUUCUCCG
This 570-nucleotide small RNA is filed under the name Pan troglodytes (chimpanzee). RNAcentral's name for it is "processed transcript". The record is from RNAcentral. Lineage: Eukaryota; Metazoa; Chordata; Mammalia; Primates; Hominidae.